Molecule: long non-coding RNA, 1191 nt
Organism: Oreochromis aureus
Lineage: Eukaryota; Metazoa; Chordata; Actinopteri; Cichliformes; Cichlidae
Source: Ensembl
GAGAACACAUCUGGGACUUUUUCGCGUUCUCAGUUUGAUGCGUACUUCGAAUUGGAACAGUACUUGGUCUCCGACUGAUGACGUAUCACGAGUACACGAGAACGCAAGUACGCACAAGUACGCAUAUUGAGAAACGGCAUUAGUCUCUCACUGAACGUGCUCCUGUGAUUAGCCAGCACAUCAUGGAGUGGGUGGGAGGUAUUAUCCAGCAUUGUCUUUAUCUUGGACAACAUCCGCUUCUCAGACACCACCCUAUGUGGUCGGAUCCACAAUCCGUCUUUUACAGUGGUGCAGAAACCCAGGAUUGUGACGUGGAGGAACCGCAACCAGGCCAGCCAGGGGAGGCGCUGGCCCAAAUGGUGGCCGAGCUCACCGCCACGCGGAGGAAGCAGGUGGUGGUGUUUCGCCACCAGUGGGAACAACGGCAGGACUGGACCGAGCCCUGGAUGCAGUGGAAAGAGCAUGGAAGGAAAAUGUCCAGAUUGAGAGGUGACUGUGUGGUGGUACCUAAGACUAAAUAUGCUGAGGAUUGCAUCAUUUUGAAUAUUUCCACAAUGAACCAACAAAAAUAUGUCAAGACUUCUGAACUGAGACUGAAUUCUUGAAUUCAGUCUGUUACAGAACAUGAGGCUCAUGCCCACCAAGUCCUGCAGCGUCUCCUGGAGAAUUUUAUACUUUAUGUCAAGGGCGAGAAAUAACAAAGCUAUUAAGUUGGUGACUGGGAGCUGCACACCAUUAAGUUGGUUGGUUGAAGGGGAAGAGCAUCCACUAGUUGUUUGGACAGGCCACCAAUAUCUCACCUACCUGCAGACCAUUUAAUGCCUGAAUGGAUGUCAGCUCAGCUAGUUCAAAAUGCUGCAGCUCGACUCUUGACAGGCACUCGUAAGCAUGACCAUAUUUCCCCAGUCUUGGCUCGUUUACACUGGCUUCCAAAGGAGGCUAAAAAACAGAGGUGAUUGCUGCGCCCAAAGGGAUGUGUGCUCAGCCCCCUGCUGUACACCCUGUUCACCCACAACUGUAUAGCAGCACAUAGCUCCAACACCAUCAUCAAAUUUGCAGAUGACACCACCAUCAUCGGCUGCAUUUCUGAUGAAGAUGAGACGGCAUACAGGGCAGAGGUGAGAGCCCUAACAUCAUGGUGCCGCAACAACAACCUGCUGCUUAACGUCAGCAAAACCAAGGAGCUCAUCG